UACGUAGGGGCUAGCGUUAUCCGGAAUUACUGGGCGUAAAGGGUGCGUAGGUGGUUUCUUAAGUCAGAGGUGAAAGGCUACGGCUCAACCGUAGUAAGCCUUUGAAACUGGGAAACUUGAGUGCAGGAGAGGUUAUCGGAAUUCCCGGUGUAGCGGUGAAAUGCGUAGAGAUCGGGAGGAACACCAGUGGCGAAGGCGGGUAACUGGACUGCAACUGACGCUGAGGCGCGAAAGUGUGGGAAGCAAACAGGAUUAGAUACCCCCCGUAGUCCCUGAGCGGGCUGGCAA
RNAcentral lists this ribosomal RNA (288 nucleotides) under uncultured prokaryote. RNAcentral describes it as "partial 16S ribosomal RNA". It matches the Rfam family "Bacterial small subunit ribosomal RNA", at positions 524 to 815 of the family's 1533-position model. The record is from RNAcentral.